AGAACAAUAAAAACCUGUCUUCUCUUCUUCCGUUCUCAAUCAGUUGGGUUCCCAGACCUUUGUUUUCUUUCUUCUUCAACGUAUCCUCUCUCACUUUACCCAGGCAUCCAUCCAUCCAUCCAUCCAAAUUUGACUUUAGGUUUUAAUUAGUUUAAUUAAUUAACUAAUUAGCAUCAUAGAAAUAGAAUAUAAUUUUAUAUAUAUAUAUAUAUAUUCACCCGCUGAUUAUAAUUAUCCCCUCUCUUUUGUGUCUUUCAAUCACCCAAAUUCCUCUCCUCUCCUCCAAAGGUUUGGAAUUUUCCUUAAUUAAUAAACAGUAAAAAUAUGUCUGGGAGAAAUCGAGGACCGCCUCUGCCCAUGAAAGGUGGACCUCACCCUUCACUACCACCGGCUGCCAUACAUGAGGCUCGCUUUGGCAGGGGACUCGGACCAUUGCCCCCUCAUCCAGGUUUAUUAGAGGAUAUGAGAGAACCCCAGUUUGGGAUGGACCCCAGGCGCCUUCCUCCUCAUCACGUUAUGUUUGAGGAUCGUCUUGCAGUCCAGCACCAAGAUAUUCAAGUUUUAUUAGCUGACAACCAGCGCCUAGCUGCGACCCAUGUUGCAUUAAAGCAGGAAUUGGAAGCUGCACAGCAUGAGUUGCAUAGGAUGGCACAUUUCGGGGAUGCAUUUCAUGCUGAGAAGGAUGUUCAGAUGAGGGAGUUGCAUGAGAAGUCUCUGAGGAUGAAGAUGGAUCUUCGUGGGGUGGAAGCUAUGCGGAAUGAGCUUCAUCAUGUGCGUUCUGAUAUUAAAGAACUUACUGAUGCAAAGCAGGAGCUUACGGGUCGGAUGCAGGCGAUGAGUCAAGAUUUGGCUAGGUAUAAUGUAGAUUUGCAACAAGUGCCAUCUGUGAAGGCUGAAAUUGAGAAUAUGAAGCAGGAACUGCAGCGUGCGCGAGCUGCCAUCGAGUAUGAGAAGAAAGGCUAUGCGGAGAAUUACGAGCAUGGUGUGGUGAUGGAGAAAAAACUGGUUGGCAUGGCUCGGGAGAUGGAGAAGCUUCGGGCAGAGAUUGCUAAUGCAGAGAAGAGAGCUCGUGCUGCCGCUGCUAUAGGAAAUCCAGCUGCAGCUUAUAAUGCAAAUUACGGAAAUCCGGAAACUGGAUACACAGCAAAUCCAUAUCAGGCUGUCUAUGGCAUGAAUCCUGUGCAAGCUAAUGCUGAAAGUUUUCCGCAGUAUGGAGCUGGACCUGGUUCCUGGGGUGCAUAUGAUAUGCAGCGAGCUCAAGGACCCAGAUAGAUUGGCUUUCAGACCAAGCUAAGAUGUGUUUCAAAUGGGCUCAUGACCUUUUAGCCAUCAAAUUGUUGCCUUCGCCAUGGUGGAUCAUGGGGUUCUGCUGUCUGAGAGGCACAGAUAACAAUAUGCAACCAAAGUCAUAUUUGGCACUCUAAUUGGGAUCAAUCCAAGAUGCUCUUGUACUCGCAACCUCGGUCUGUCGAUUGCGGUGGCAGCCACAUCUGUGGUUGCAAUAAGUUUUUGAGGCUUCCAUCAAUUCCUUUAGAGAAGGUUUCUUGGCAAGGAUGUGCAAGGCCUUGUUUGAUUGGCAAAAGUUCAGUUUGCUAUCGAAGAAAGAAUUAAUACAAUGAUUUUCUUCGAUUCUGUCUAUCUUGGAUUCUUCAAGGUCACGCCAUACAUGAUACUGGUAAAAUUUGCAGGAGUCAAGUAGCAAGUCAUCUUGAGCAUUUUCAUGUAUAAUCAUAAAACACGUAGGUUUUUUUCAUAUUGUAUUUCUGAAAAAUACAAACAGAUACCACUAAUGGAAGGAAAGAUAUUCGAAA
Populus trichocarpa (black cottonwood) is the source of this 1811-nucleotide RNA transcript. It is a transcript of the gene named protein FLX-like 1, with no coding region annotated. Lineage: Eukaryota; Viridiplantae; Streptophyta; Magnoliopsida; Malpighiales; Salicaceae. The transcript has 7 exons. The record is from RefSeq and is a predicted model, not a curated record.